This 253-nucleotide ribosomal RNA is filed under the name uncultured bacterium. Its description in RNAcentral is "partial 16S ribosomal RNA". It matches the Rfam family "Bacterial small subunit ribosomal RNA", at positions 524 to 776 of the family's 1533-position model. The record is from RNAcentral.
UACGUAGGGUGCAAGCGUUACUCGGAAUUACUGGGCGUAAAGCGUGCGCAGGCGGCGCGUUAAGACAGGUGUGAAAGCCCCGAGCUUAACUUGGGAAUUGCGCUUGUGACUGGCGUGCUGGAGUGUGGCAGAGGGAGGUGGAAUUCCACGUGUAGCAGUGAAAUGCGUAGAGAUGUGGAGGAACACCGAUGGCGAAGGCAGCCUCCUGGGCCAGCACUGACGCUCAUGCACGAAAGCGUGGGGAGCAAACAGG